This 215-nucleotide ribosomal RNA is filed under the name uncultured bacterium. RNAcentral's name for it is "partial 16S ribosomal RNA". It matches the Rfam family "Bacterial small subunit ribosomal RNA", at positions 524 to 735 of the family's 1533-position model. The record is from RNAcentral.
UACAGAGGGUGCGAGCGUUGUCCGGAAUCACUGGGCGUAAAGGGCGCGUAGGUGGCGCUCCAAGUCCGUGGUGAAAGCUCGAUGCUUAACAUCGAGUCGGCCACGGAGACUGGAGGGCUCGAGCACUGUAGGGGGCAGAUGGAAUUCCGGGUGUAGCGGUGGGAAUGCGUAGAGAUCCGGAAGAACACCGGUGGCGAAGGCGGGGUCUCUGGGCC